CAGUUACUCCCUCCGUGCGGAAAUACUUGUCAUUGAAAUGGGUGUAUCUAGAUGUAUUUUAGUUCUAGAUACAUCCAUUUUCAUCCAUUUUGAUGACAAGGAAUUCCGGAUGGAGGGAGUACAAA
Molecule: non-coding RNA, 125 nt
Organism: Triticum aestivum (bread wheat)
Lineage: Eukaryota; Viridiplantae; Streptophyta; Magnoliopsida; Poales; Poaceae
Source: Rfam